ACCGGGAAUGCAUUGAGAAAGGAAGUGAUGCUCAGAGCUCCUGCACAAAACCAGAGUUGGAGAAUGAAGAAGAGAAUGCAGAAAAUUUACCGGAAUCUGUUCAACCAAAUAGGGAAGCUUCUCUUCCAAAUGCUGCAGAUUUGGUGAAGGAACUACUUCAUGAAGCAAAUAAUAGAUUGAGAAUUUCCGAGAAUGAUGGAAGAGCUCCUACAACAGAUGCAAAUGCAAUGACCAGGGGAGAAGACAUAAAUUCUGAUGAUAACUGGGGUCAUGGUCGUACAAUUGG
This 286-nucleotide unclassified non-coding RNA is filed under the name Hevea brasiliensis (rubber tree). Lineage: Eukaryota; Viridiplantae; Streptophyta; Magnoliopsida; Malpighiales; Euphorbiaceae. The record is from RNAcentral.